GAUGAACGCUGGCGGCGUGCCUAAUACAUGCAAGUCGAGCGAACAGAUGAGGAGCUUGCUCCUCUGACGUUAGCGGCGGACGGGUGAGUAACACGUGGAUAACCUACCUAUAAGACUGGGAUAACUUCGGGAAACCGGAGCUAAUACCGGAUAAUAUAUUGAACCGCAUGGUUCAAUAGUGAAAGACGGUUUUACUGUCACUUAUAGAUGGAUCCGCGCCGCAUUAGCUAGUUGGUAAGGUAACGGCUUACCAAGGCAACGAUGCGUAGCCGACCUGAGAGGGUGAUCGGCCACACUGGAACUGAGACACGGUCCAGACUCCUACGGGAGGCAGCAGUAGGGAAUCUUCCGCAAUGGGCGAAAGCCUGACGGAGCAACGCCGCGUGAGUGAUGAAGGUCUUCGGAUCGUAAAACUCUGUUAUUAGGGAAGAACAAAUGUGUAAGUAACUAUGCACGUCUUGACGGUACCUAAUCAGAAAGCCACGGCUAACUACGU
This 496-nucleotide ribosomal RNA is filed under the name uncultured bacterium. RNAcentral describes it as "partial 16S ribosomal RNA". It matches the Rfam family "Bacterial small subunit ribosomal RNA", at positions 28 to 506 of the family's 1533-position model. The record is from RNAcentral.